ANCGCGNCCUAUCAUGCAGUCGAGCGGGGUUAUGUAGAAGCUUGCUUCUACAUAACCUAGCGGCGGACGGGUGAGUAACACGUAGGCAACCUGCCCACAAGACAGGGAUAACUACCGGAAACGGUAGCUAAUACCCGAUACAUCCUUUUCCUGCAUGGGAGAAGGAGGAAAGACGGAGCAAUCUGUCACUUGUGGAUGGGCCUGCGGCGCAUUAGCUAGUUGGUGGGGUAAAGGCCUACCAAGGCGACGAUGCGUAGCCGACCUGAGAGGGUGAUCGGCCACACUGGGACUGAGACACGGCCCAGACUCCUACGGAAGGCAGCAGA
This 326-nucleotide ribosomal RNA is filed under the name Paenibacillus sp. RJF. Its description in RNAcentral is "bacterial SSU rRNA". It matches the Rfam family "Bacterial small subunit ribosomal RNA", at positions 53 to 355 of the family's 1533-position model. Lineage: Bacteria; Bacillati; Bacillota; Bacilli; Caryophanales; Paenibacillaceae. The record is from RNAcentral.